AGCGUAUCGAUGCACAUAUAUUCCCCUGUAAUUUUUCUGUAGUGAAUAGGAACAUGUCAUUGUAAGUACAUCUAAACAGAACUGUACCAAAGCACAGAUGUUGUGAGGCCUUUUGUCAGGGAAGAAGGCUGAGAUCACUUGCUAAGCUUCAGUAACCCACCACAGCAGAAAACAAAACUGAAGUUUGGUACGACCUACAAAUCCAAACAACUCGCUAUUGUAUAAACAUACUACUGUAAUACAGUAUUAAGAACAUCAAUGUAAGAAAUAGGAUCUACUUUGCCAUUUGGUGACAGCAUAGCUAAAUUUCUAAAAAAGGUUAUUGAGCUCAGUCUUGGGUAUGUUGUAUAAUUUCUCAGUUUCGUAAUAGGUUAUUUUAGAACUUGGAUUCUAAAGUGAAGAAAGAAUAGAUUUUAAUUUGCAGUUUUGUGAAGGUGAGACUUACUUUGUUUUCAAAGGACUGAAAGUCAUUUUGAAUAGUGAGUUAAAGUGUAUUUCCAAAAUGUCAUGUGAUCCUAGUAAAAUGGUUAGCAAGUCAACCAGGGGAGAUAAUACUAAGGUGUUGUUGCCUUGAGUUGACUCCAGAAGUUAGGUGUUUGUCUUAUGAAGAGAUUGAACAGUUUGGACUGUAUUCUCUGGAAUUUAGAAGAAUGAGAGCAAAUCUAACUGAGGUAUAUAAGAUGCUAAAUGAGAUUGACAAAGUAGAUAUAGAGAGAAUGCUUCCUCAUGCAGGGCAAUCUAAAUGAGAUGCCCUUGUUUUAGGAUAAGGGAUAGCAGAUUUCAAAUAAAUGAGGAUUUUUUUUCUCUAAGCGUUAUGAAACUAUGGAAUUCAUUACCCCAGAGUACAGUGAAUGUCAGGACUGAAACUGAGUAAACUUAAGGAGACAAUAGAUUUUUAAUUAGGAAUGGGUCGAAGAGUUAUGGAAAGUGGGCAGAAAAAUGGAGUCCAGGCCAUGAUCAGACCAGCCAUGAAUGGCAGAACAGGCUCAAAGGGCUGAAUUACUUAAUCCUGCUCUUAGUGCUGGUGUUCUUCAGAGUUGUAAAACCCAGAGACAGUGAAUCUGCCAGAAACUGGUACAUUGAGAGAUGAAAUCCAUAAAAGCAGAGGUGCUGUUAGUUGCAUCUAAAAACAAUCUGGAUAGGACAGAAGUCCUAAGCUGAUUAAAAAUCUCCAGAAGCGGAAAGCUAUACAAGUAUCAUGAAUAAGAUAUCCUGCAAGGUCGUUAAAGACAUGAAUUUAAGGAGUCCAUGUUACGUAGUAAUAGAGAGCUGCGUUAUCAUCUUGUUUAAAAGUUUUAGGGAGAGGCAUUAAUUGAAUAAACUAAUGAGUGAAUGAACAGAAAUAUACCAAAAAGGAAGCCAAUUAUAGAUGUGCCAGCUGAUCAAGAAGGAGAUAGGAGUCACUCUUUACUGAGAUUUGAGUGUCUACAUUUUUUUUUGCUGAAAUCAGAGGGCUUAAUCUCUUUAUGAAUUUGCAAUGCGUUUUUAUUGUGUAAUAAUUUGUAUCUGUUUUUCUUUUGUAUAAUGUACUUCCAUUUACUUUUGUAAAAAGAUAGAUUAGCCGCCUUUUGUAAAUUUGUUCAGCGACUGAAUUUAAUGUUAAAGAAAAAUAAAAAGUUAAAUUUAUUAU
Non-coding RNA from Chiloscyllium plagiosum (whitespotted bambooshark), 1630 nucleotides. The record is from RefSeq and is a predicted model, not a curated record. Lineage: Eukaryota; Metazoa; Chordata; Chondrichthyes; Orectolobiformes; Hemiscylliidae.